Molecule: non-coding RNA, 25 nt
Filed under: Mus musculus (house mouse)
Lineage: Eukaryota; Metazoa; Chordata; Mammalia; Rodentia; Muridae
Also listed under: 1 other name
Source: RNAcentral
UAAACGACUCUCGGCAACGGAUAUC